This 394-nucleotide ribosomal RNA is filed under the name uncultured bacterium. RNAcentral's name for it is "partial 16S ribosomal RNA". It matches the Rfam family "Bacterial small subunit ribosomal RNA", at positions 523 to 918 of the family's 1533-position model. The record is from RNAcentral.
AUACGUAGGGAGCGAGCGUUGUCCGGAAUUACUGGGCGUAAAGGGCGCGUAGGCGGCGCUUCAAGUCGUCUGUCAAAUGGGAGGGCUUAACCCUUUUUCGCAGACGAAACUGUGGCGCUGGAGAAGCAGAGAGGCAAACAGAAUUCCUGGUGUAGCGGUGAAAUGCGUAGAUAUCAGGAAGAAUACCAGUGGCGAAGGCGGUUUGCUGGCUGCAUACUGACGCUGAAGCGCGAAAGCCAGGGGAGCAAACGGGAUUAGAUACCCCGGUAGUCCUGGCAGUAAACGAUGUAUGCUGGGUGUGGGAGUAGCGAUACCUCCGUGCCGAAGUUAACGCGAUAAGCAUACCGCCUGGGGAGUACGGUCGCAAGAUUGAAACUUAAAUGAAUUGGCGGGG